This 468-nucleotide unclassified non-coding RNA is filed under the name uncultured Glomus. RNAcentral describes it as "SSU rRNA". It matches the Rfam family "Eukaryotic small subunit ribosomal RNA", at positions 569 to 1043 of the family's 1831-position model. The record is from RNAcentral. Lineage: Eukaryota; Fungi; Glomeromycota; Glomeromycetes; Glomerales; Glomeraceae.
AGCAGCCGCGGUAAUUCCAGCUCCAAUAGCGUAUAUUAAAGUUGCUGCAGUUAAAAAGCUCGUAGUUGAAUUUCGGGACCAAUAUGUCGGUCGUGCCUCGGUACGUACUGGCAUCGUUGGUUUCUCCUUUCUGAAGAACCAUGAUGUCAUUUAUUUGGUGUCGUGGGGAAUCAGGACUGUUACUUUGAAAAAUUAGAGUGUUUAAAGCAGGCUCACGCUUGAAUACAUUAGCAUGGAAUAAUGAAAUAGGACGUUUGAUUCUAUUUUGUUGGUUUCUAGGAUCGACGUAAUGAUUAAUAGGGAUAGUUGGGGGCAUUAGUAUUCAAUUGUCAGAGGUGAAAUUCUUGGAUUUAUUGAAGACUAACUACUGCGAAAGCAUUUGCCAAGGAUGUUUUCAUUAAUCAAGAACGAAAGUUAGGGGAUCGAAGACGAUCAGAUACCGUCGUAGUCUUAACCAUAAGCUAUGCC